This 240-nucleotide unclassified non-coding RNA is filed under the name soil metagenome. RNAcentral describes it as "partial contains 5.8S ribosomal RNA, internal transcribed spacer 2, and large subunit ribosomal RNA". The record is from RNAcentral.
AACCAUAGAAACCUGCGGAGUACCUGCGGAGGGAUCAUUAAUGUUGUCUUUGUCCACUUGUAGGCCAAGGGGUUUUUUACUCCUUGGCUUACAAGCACCCGUGCUUACCAUAAAGUCUAUAACCAUAUUUCUUUCUUUGUACAGAUGCUGCACGCUCUUGCUUAGACGGAAAUUGGUCAACGUUGACAAGCAUCGACUGCUUCUGUCGGUCGGUAUUGCCAAUGUUAAUCUGGCUUCAGU